ACGGGAGGCAGCAGUAGGGAAUAUUGGGCAAUGGACGCAAGUCUGACCCAGCCAUGCCGCGUGCAGGAAGAAGGCCUUCUGGGUUGUAAACUGCUUUUAUCUGGGAAGAAAAAGCCCCUGCGGGGGAAACUGACGGUACCAGAGGAAUAAGCACCGGCUAACUCCGUGCCAGCAGCCGCGGUAAUACGGAGGGUGCAAGCGUUGUCCGGAUUUAUUGGGUUUAAAGGGUGCGUAGGCGGCCCGUUAAGUCCGGGGUGAAAGCCCACAGCUCAACUGUGGAACUGCCCUGGAUACUGGCGGGCUUGAGUCCAGACGAGGUUGGCGGAAUGGAUGCUGUAGCGGUGAAAUGCAUAGAUAGCAUCCAGAACCCCGAUUGCGUAGGCAGCUGACUAGGCUGGUACUGACGCUGAGGCACGAAAGCGUGGGGAGCGAACAGGAUUAGAUACCCUGGUA
Molecule: ribosomal RNA, 453 nt
Filed under: uncultured Hymenobacter sp.
Lineage: Bacteria; Pseudomonadati; Bacteroidota; Cytophagia; Cytophagales; Hymenobacteraceae
Description: bacterial SSU rRNA
Rfam family: Bacterial small subunit ribosomal RNA
Source: RNAcentral